UCACACUACGCGGUAGCCCUAGAUUUGUUCACUCCCAUUAAGAUUGGUCUCAUCGUCCACUUCCGAUUCUCUACUAUCUACCAUCUAUCAUUCAAGCCUACAAACGGAGUUCCCGAAUCAGGCAUCGGCGGCAUCGGCGGCGUUGAGGCGUAGCAGGCUCUUCUUUCCGGCACAUGUAUAUUUCGCGAGUGUACUAUUCAUUACAAAAUUUAAUGGCAAACAACACCGAACAACAAAUUGUAGUCUUAGCGGUAUAUGAAGUGCUAUAGCAGCACCUUAUGAGAUGAUGAGGCAAAAAUGUUGAAGAUGGUGACCCGGAAGGAGAUGAUGAGGCUUUCAUGUCCGUGGAACAAAACAAGGCAUAUGCUAUGGUACCGUAUGAGGCUAACCAACAUGCCGAUCAGCCUUAGGAGGGAAUCGUGGAAGUUGAGUCCGAGGGUUACUAUACCGACGAGACGUAGGGGUUCCUGGGUAUUACGGAAGUCGACCUAUUCCAUCGUUCAAUAAGUGUUUGCCGUUGCUUUGAUAUUAACUUCCUUUGAAGUUUGAAUUAUGUUUUCUAUCUUGUUUCGUACUAGUGUUUCAUGUUUUCAUAGUAUUUGUAUUUCUAUUAUAAAUUUGGUGAAAUUAAUCCAACAAGUCCAUAAGUUUGACAACAA
This is a long non-coding RNA of Erythranthe guttata (spotted monkey flower), 659 nucleotides long. RefSeq lists it as uncharacterized. Lineage: Eukaryota; Viridiplantae; Streptophyta; Magnoliopsida; Lamiales; Phrymaceae. The record is from RefSeq and is a predicted model, not a curated record.